RNAcentral lists this ribosomal RNA (81 nucleotides) under Guillardia theta. RNAcentral's name for it is "partial 5.8S ribosomal RNA". The record is from RNAcentral. Lineage: Eukaryota; Cryptophyceae; Pyrenomonadales; Geminigeraceae.
UUGAUGGAUGGCCAGACUUGUAGAUUGAUGAAGAAUACGGCAAUAUUUUUGACACACACCAUGCCCUGUGAAUUGCAGACU